AGGUUUUUCAACCAUGGAUGCCAUAGUGGUAGGUCACAAGGUCAUAGAACAAGUUCCACUAGAAAUCAGUGUUGGAUGGAUGCUGAUGGACAGGGUUGACAUCAUCUGGUACUCACCAGCAAGGCCCUAUCACUUGUGUCACUUGGUGCCUAUUCUGGUGAUUGGUUGGUGCCUGUACCCUAUUGCUUGUUAAAUAUUUUGAAUAUCACACCUACUAAUGACCUUGGCCUAAUAUCAGGAAGUUUCAAAAGCCCCUUCCCCUGACGUGGAUCACCCCAUAAGGGAUACAAUAAAAGAAAGGGAUGGAAACAUCCUGAAAUGAUGAUGAUCCUGUCCUAAGGAGACCAGAAUGAACCCAUGACUAAGCUCACCUUGAUUGUCAAAGUUAAGUUUUCCACGAUCAGUUUGUGAACAAAUUUAAGUUCAUUUAUAGUGAAUAAAAAGCUCCAUUUUUAACAUGUAAAUUUCAAUACUGCUACAAAUGUGAAUCACUGUAUUCUAGCUUUUGUGUCUCAUCUCUAGAUGUCAAAGCCUCUAAAGCCAUUGGGCAUUAGGUUGGGGAGGUCAAAGGGGAAACAUGUUCUUCUGCAGUUUUAAGGAGUGGGAAAGAGGGCUCAGUGGUAGUGUGUUACCACAGUGGAGUUGGACUUCCAAGCUGGCAUAGUGGAACUUUAUUUUUCUACCAUGUAGGCAUUGAGAAGAAUUUGUCAAGCAAACCCUACAACAGAUAUGAGGUUAAAGGAUAUGUUUCUUUCACAUGGGCUAAAACCAGGAGAGCUCGAUAUCAAAUAGGAAAAAAAAUCAACUAGAGGAAGAGUAAAAAAAACAAACCAAAACAAAAAUACCAGAAAGGAAAUGGGCUGAUGUUCAUAGCUUACCACAGAGUUAAUCAAAGGGGCUUAAAUGUUCUUGGAGGGAAGAGAUUUAUCAGCAUGUCUAAGAAUGAAAUUUUAAAAGAAAUAAAUGUUUUGAGUCUAUGUUUGAAAGUAGCAGGUAAAUUCAAAGGGAUUUAAGGCAUGGUAUUUGUAGAAAAGUUACUUGCCCCUUAAAAAAUGUUGUAUUUGCCUGGGUAGACUAGGAUGGGGCCAUUGGAUGUCUCUGGUUAGGACCCUGGUUGAGAGAUAUGUUCAUCAGAUCAAGGAUGAGUUCCUCAUGUGGGAGCAGUGUGGACAUUGUUAGGUAUUGGAAUGGGUGACCAGACAGAGUGAGGGAGUCUUUUCUCAGAGGUUAUGAAAAUCAGGAAACAUUUUUAUUGGUCUGUUUAGGUUUUAAACUUCUUCAAAGUAAGAGGAAGAAAAGAAGAUGAAGCAGCUGAGUCCAAUGUAGUGAGCAUCCUGAGCCAGUGCAAUACUAGGUUGUCUUCAAAUAUUAAUUAUGUAUAUUUGAAACUUAAAACCAUCAUAGAAUUUUCACUUAAAAUAGUGGAUAACAAACAUAGGUAAGAAUGGUAAGAAUGAAGAGCAUGGGGGAAUAUUACUGACAAGGGUCAAGGGAAAUGGUCUUAUUGGUCUCAACAUUUAUUUUGAUUUUGAGUCCAUCUAUUUUUCAGAAUUCCAUUAGAAGGCAUUCCGUUAUUGCUACAAAGUGUCACCAAGUGACUCUCAUACUGAUACUGGUCACAAUCUGGAAAGCCUUCAGAGGAUUUGCUAUGCUAAAAAAAAAAAAAAGGCUUGAGAAAGGUAUUGUUAAUUCAGUAUCUCUAGGUUUCAGGGUGAUUAAAAAAAAAAACUCAUAGGAUCAGGGCCACCUCUAUGUUGUACACGGCUCUAGAAAUAUAUUUUUUUUGCAGGGCCCUGUUUGUAGAAACACUUUGAUUAAAAAACAUAAAGUCACUGGACCCCUGUGAGGUAUAAUAAUUUAUCAGUGAAGAUUUAGAAUAAUGGAUGAACAAGUGUUACUUCUGUGUUUGUUAUGUGUCCAGUCAGCACCUGUGAAGGUCCUCAUGCUCUCUGGGCACUAGCUCUUCCUGUUUAGGUCCAGGGACCUUCUCUCUCUUCUCCUUUUUGUCAGAUGCACCAUUCCUGGCUAACUUCAUAUCUCCCACUGUGGGAAAAAGGUAAGAAAUACAUUAUUAGUCCCCACACUCUUUGGAGCCUGUUGGUAUUAAAGCAGUAUGGACUGAUUUUACCUCUUCAGCUCUCCCACAGUCCUCUGUUCAGUGCUGGUCAGGUCGGUACUCAUGACACCUCAUCCUCUUUGCGCUGCCCGUGAAUAUGGGCCUCCAGUGACUCAUAAGCAUCAUUAACCAAGCUUCUUUGCCGAUGACCGCAAGGAUCCAGUGCCCACCCUUCUCCACCCAGGUGUGUGCCCUGGAAGGCUGACCUGUGGACUGAUCACUGGGCUUCCAGUUGAAAUUGGCCAGUUGGACGCACCAGCAGAUCUGGCAAUCAGAUAAGAGUGAAAUUGGGGUAUUUAUUCUGCUCCCUUCCUGUGAGGACAAUGUGGACUGUCUGGAUCCUAAUACUGUGAUAAAACCAAGAACUAGUGAUUUUAAGGAACUUGCCAAAUAUUGGAAUCAGUAAGAGGUAAACCUGGGGUCUGAACUCAGAAAGCAUAGUUCCAGAACCUACUUUCCUAACUGCUACAAGGAAGGAAUUGCCAACAUUAAAAAAAAAAAAAAAAAAGUCAAGCGAUUUCAUGGAAUCAUGGGAUUCAUGCCCUCUCUUGAACAGUUGUAACAUAUGAAAUGAAAAGGAAGACUGGACCAAGUAUUAAGUCACAAUUUUCACUUCAAAGUCGCUGCCAGUGGCUACCAAUCCAAGGCCAGGGCUUCAAAAGAAAUGAGUCCUUGCCUCCUGGGCUCCCAUCUCUGACACCUCCAGCUGAGACGUUUCUGACCGGAGCAUGGUCCUGGCAAGGUGUUCUUAAUGCCAGCCAGACCUGUCCACAGCCACUAGAGCCUGGCCUACACUCCUGCUGAACCUGGCUUUCCCCCUGCUGCAGCUCACAUACCCCCUUAUCAUGGACUCCUCCUCCCCAACCCUAUCUCCUCUCCCUAGAGACACUCUCACGUUCCACUUCCUCCACUCAGCCUUCCUUUAAUUCUCCUAACUGAAGAACCUCUUCUUUUUACUUUCUGAAAUGACCAUGUAAGUCACAUGUAGAUGGUGAUGAUAACUAUAGGAGCAAUACAGCUAAGCUAACACCUGACGAUGGUCUAUUCUGCUCCCCAGCACUGUAUACACUCUUAACCCACAUUAUCUUAUUUAACUCUCAUGGAGCUCCUAUGAAAUAUGAACUUUUAUUUGUAUUGCUGAGUAAGCCGCCUUAGUAAGGUUGCAUAAAUUGUUCAAAAUCUCAUAGCUCAUUUUAUGUCUUAUGUAAAUUAUUUGUAUUCUCUUUUAUUUAUCCUCCAAAUGGAUAAUUGAGAUCAGGGAGCAUUCUUUGUUCAGCUGUGACCCCUAUUCUAAGCCUAUGGAGUAUCUUGUGCAUGGUGGGCAGUAAAUCACCAAUUUGCUGAAGAGUCUCAGAAUUCACGACUUUUGCCACCAAAUUGGUCAUGUUUUUUGGUGCUGAAUUUUAUUUUAUUUAAAAAUUUUUUCUUGUUAUCUAUCAAGCAUACACCUGUGUUCCAUGUAAUGUAAGUCGAGAUGGGGAGCAAAAAAGUGUUUCUAAGAAGUUUGGAAUAAAUUGAUUCCUGUUUUCCUUCUGUUAUA
This is a long non-coding RNA of Herpailurus yagouaroundi (jaguarundi), 3656 nucleotides long. RefSeq lists it as uncharacterized. The transcript has 5 exons. The record is from RefSeq and is a predicted model, not a curated record. NCBI's taxonomy places the organism in Eukaryota, Metazoa, Chordata, Mammalia, Carnivora, Felidae.